UCGAAGGAGACGGUGAUUGUCGGAACUU
RNAcentral lists this small RNA (28 nucleotides) under Bombyx mori (domestic silkworm). RNAcentral's name for it is "ovarian small RNA-28205". The record is from RNAcentral. Lineage: Eukaryota; Metazoa; Arthropoda; Insecta; Lepidoptera; Bombycidae.